UACGUAGGGCGCGAGCGUUGCCCGGAUUUAUUGGGCGUAAAGCGCGCGUAGGCGGCCCUGUAAGUCCGUUGUGAAAGUCGAAGGCUCAACCUUCGAAAGCCGAUGGAUACUGCAGGGCUAGAGUCCGGAAGAGGCGAGUGGAAUUCCUGGUGUAGCGGUGGAAUGCGCAGAUAUCAGGAGGAACACCAAUAGCGAAGGCAGCUCGCGGGGACGUUACUGACACUGAGGCGCGAAAGCGUGGGGAGCGAACAGG
Molecule: ribosomal RNA, 253 nt
Filed under: uncultured bacterium
Lineage: Bacteria
Description: partial 16S ribosomal RNA
Rfam family: Bacterial small subunit ribosomal RNA
Source: RNAcentral